RNAcentral lists this ribosomal RNA (427 nucleotides) under uncultured bacterium. RNAcentral's name for it is "partial 16S ribosomal RNA". It matches the Rfam family "Bacterial small subunit ribosomal RNA", at positions 355 to 774 of the family's 1533-position model. The record is from RNAcentral.
UGGGGAAUAUUGGACAAUGGGCGAAAGCCUGAUCCAGCCAUGCCGCGUGUGUGAAGAAGGUCUUCGGAUUGUAAAGCACUUUAAGUUGGGAGGAAGGGCAUUAACCUAAUACGUUAGUGUUUUGACGUUACCGACAGAAUAAGCACCGGCUAACUCUGUGCCAGCAGCCGCGGUAAUACAGAGGGUGCAAGCGUUAAUCGGAAUUACUGGGCGUAAAGCGCGCGUAGGUGGUUUGUUAAGUUGGAUGUGAAAUCCCCGGGCUCAACCUGGGAACUGCAUUCAAAACUGACUGACUAGAGUAUGGUAGAGGGUGGUGGAAUUUCCUGUGUAGCGGGGAAAUGCGUAGAUAUAGGAAGGAACACCAGUGGCGAAGGCGACCACCUGGACUAAUACUGACACUGAGGUGCGAAAGCGUGGGGAGCAAACA